Molecule: ribosomal RNA, 253 nt
Filed under: uncultured bacterium
Lineage: Bacteria
Description: partial 16S ribosomal RNA
Rfam family: Bacterial small subunit ribosomal RNA
Source: RNAcentral
GACGAACCGUGCGAACGUUGUUCGGAAUCACUGGGCUUAAAGGGCGCGUAGGCGGCUUGCCAAGUCCGGGGUGAAAGCCUCCAGCUCAACUGGAGAAGUGCCUUGGAUACUGGCGAGCUCGAGCGAGGUAGGGGCGGGUGGAACUUCCGGCGGAGCGGUGAAAUGCGUUGAUAUCGGAAGGAACGCCGGUGGCGAAAGCGGCUCUCUGGAGCUUUUCUGACGCUGAGGCACGAAAGCUAGGGGAGCGAACGGG